This 497-nucleotide ribosomal RNA is filed under the name uncultured bacterium. RNAcentral describes it as "partial 16S ribosomal RNA". It matches the Rfam family "Bacterial small subunit ribosomal RNA", at positions 28 to 507 of the family's 1533-position model. The record is from RNAcentral.
GAUGAACGCUGGCGGCGUGCCUAAUACAUGCAAGUCGAGCGAACAGACGAGGAGCUUGCUCCUCUGACGUUAGCGGCGGACGGGUGAGUAACACGUGGAUAACCUACCUAUAAGACUGGGAUAACUUCGGGAAACCGGAGCUAAUACCGGAUAAUAUAUUGAACCGCAUGGUUCAAUAGUGAAAGACGGUUUUGCUGUCACUUAUAGAUGGAUCCGCGCCGCAUUAGCUAGUUGGUAAGGUAACGGCUUACCAAGGCAACGAUGCGUAACCGACCUGAGAGGGUGAUCGGCCACACUGGAACUGAGACACGGUCCAGACUCCUACGGGAGGCAGCAGUAGGGAAUCUUCCGCAAUGGGCGAAAGCCUGACGGAGCAACGCCGCGUGAGUGAUGAAGGUCUUCGGAUCGUAAAACUCUGUUAUUAGGGAAGAACAAAUGUGUAAGUAACUAUGCACGUCUUGACGGUACCUAAUCAGAAAGCCACGGCUAACUCUGUG